Non-coding RNA from Vicia faba (fava bean), 207 nucleotides. NCBI's taxonomy places the organism in Eukaryota, Viridiplantae, Streptophyta, Magnoliopsida, Fabales, Fabaceae. The record is from the annotation of a GenBank genome assembly.
AUGAUUCUCAGACGGAAACGGCAAAGCAGGAAGACAACAUGUAAAGGCUGCUCAACUAUAUCAUUCUCGGAUUGUAUCUUUUACUGUAUGGAGCCAGCCACUCGCAAACCAUCAGGAGUCACUUGGGAUCUUACAGGUGAUGCUAUAUUGAGUGUGGUGAUGCUUCUGAUUCCAGGCUAUGUCAUGCUCAAAUCAAGAAUAGGUUGA